Molecule: ribosomal RNA, 425 nt
Filed under: uncultured Methylosinus sp.
Lineage: Bacteria; Pseudomonadati; Pseudomonadota; Alphaproteobacteria; Hyphomicrobiales; Methylocystaceae
Description: bacterial SSU rRNA
Rfam family: Bacterial small subunit ribosomal RNA
Source: RNAcentral
GCGGCAGGCCUAACACAUGCAAGUCGAACGCUGUAGCAAUACAGAGUGGCAGACGGGUGAGUAACGCGUGGGAACGUGCCUUUCGGUUCGGAAUAACUCAGGGAAACUUGAGCUAAUACCGGAUACGCCCUUCGGGGGAAAGAUUUAUUGCCGAAAGAUCGGCCCGCGUCCGAUUAGCUAGUUGGUGAGGUAACGGCCCACCAAGGCGACGAUCGGUAGCUGGUCUGAGAGGAUGAUCAGCCACACUGGGACUGAGACACGGCCCAGACUCCUACGGGAGGCAGCAGUGGGGAAUAUUGGACAAUGGGCGCAAGCCUGAUCCAGCCAUGCCGCGUGAGUGAUGAAGGCCCUAGGGUUGUAAAGCUCUUUCGCCAGGGACGAUAAUGACGGUACCUGGAUAAGAAGCCCCGGCUAACUUCGUGCCA